Molecule: ribosomal RNA, 513 nt
Filed under: uncultured bacterium
Lineage: Bacteria
Description: partial 16S ribosomal RNA
Rfam family: Bacterial small subunit ribosomal RNA
Source: RNAcentral
GACGAACGCUGGCGGCAUGCCUAAUACAUGCAAGUCGAGCGAACAGAUGAAGUGCUUGCACUUCUGACGUUAGCGGCGAACGGGUGAGUAACACGUAAGGAAUCUACCUAUAAGCGGGGGAUAACAUUCGGAAACGGGUGCUAAUACCGCAUAAUAUCUUCUUCCGCAUGGAAGAAGAUUGAAAGACGGCUCUGCUGUCACUUAUAGAUGACCUUGCGGUGCAUUAGUUAGUUGGUGGGGUAAUGGCCUACCAAGACGAUGAGGCAUAGCCGGCCUGAGAGGGUGAUCGGCCACAUUGGGACUGAGACACGGCCCAAACUCCUACGGGAGGCAGCAGUAGGGAAUCUUCCGCAAUGGGCGAAAGCCUGACGGAGCAAUGCCGCGUGAGUGAAGAAGGCCUUCGGGUCGUAAAACUCUGUUAUAAGAGAAGAACAAAUUGUAGAGUAACUGCGACAGUCUUGACGGUAUCUUAUCAGAAAGCCACGGCUAACUACGUGCCAGCCGCCGCCGUAA